Molecule: ribosomal RNA, 465 nt
Filed under: uncultured bacterium
Lineage: Bacteria
Description: partial 16S ribosomal RNA
Rfam family: Bacterial small subunit ribosomal RNA
Source: RNAcentral
GACGAACGCUGGCGGCGUGCUUAACACAUGCGAGUCGAACGGAAAGGCCCCUUUGGGGGUACUCGAGUGGCGAACGGGUGAGUAACACGUGAGUAACCUGCCCUUGACUUCGGGAUAACUUCAGGAAACUGGGGCUAAUACCGGAUAGGAAUCCUUGCUGCAUGGUGGGGGUUGGAAAGCUUCGGCGGUUUUGGAUGGACUCGCGGCUUAUCAGCUUGUUGGUGGGGUAGUGGCUUACCAAGGCUUUGACGGGUAGCCGGCCUGGGAGGGCGACCGGCCACAUUGGGACUGAGAUACGGCCCAGACUCCGACGGGAGGCAGCAGUGGGGAAUAUUGCACAAUGGGCGGCAGCCUGAUGCAGCAACGCCGCGUGCGGGAUGACGGCCUUCGGGUUGUAAACCGCUUUCAGCAGGGGCGAAGCUUGUGGUGACGGUACCUGCAGAAGAAGCACCGGCUAACUACGUG